Non-coding RNA from Danio rerio (zebrafish), 1446 nucleotides. Lineage: Eukaryota; Metazoa; Chordata; Actinopteri; Cypriniformes; Danionidae. The record is from RefSeq and is a predicted model, not a curated record.
ACUUGUCUUUUCCAAAACUUGAUAAUUUUUUUGAUCUGCAAUUACUUACUGUGUAAUUUAGUAAAUACUGUAAUUACAUGAUGUGGCAUUGUUUUCUAUGAUUCAGGGUUGAUGCUGCAAGAGAAUAUGGCUCGUUGGGUAGACUUAUUAAUGACAAUCAUAUAAACCCAAACAGCAAAAUGAAAAUAAUCAAUGUUGAUAGAAAACCCCAUUUGUGCUUAUUCACAACAAAGGACAUCAGUCUAGGACAAGAGAUCACUUAUAACUAUGAUGUUUCAGAAUGGCCAUGGAGGAACAAGGUGACCUCUGACACUGAAAUCCAGACCAAUAUUUCACUCAGCUGUGCAGGACAGAAAACUGGAACACAGAAGGUAAAUGACUGAGAACACUGACUGUAUAUUUUUCCAUAGUUCAGCUCUAUAUAUGCUAAAACUGUUACAAAGUUUACUGUUUAUACAGUUUGUCAGUUCUGUAAGGAUUUACAUGUGUUAAUACACUCUUUAAAAAAAGGUUCCUUGAGGUUCUAUAUAGAACCUUGGGGUUCUAUACUUGGCCAGUAAAACCUUUUACCCAAAAAAACGGUUACAUUUAGAACCCUAUGACUGCAACAAACCUUUUUGAUUAAAAUGGUUCUAUAAUUUUUUUAAUCAUAACAUAAUUAUGUAGUAAAGAUUAUAAAAAAAUUAUAAGCUAUAACACAGAGAGACAAAUCUUUUUGAGUAAAAACCUAAUAAAAUGAAUGCUGUGGUCAAAAACUUAAUCAGUGUACAUUAUGAUGGGAUUUUUUUAUGCAGGUUUGUACAAUAGCAUAUAACUUAUAGGCCUAGUUUAUAUAUACUCAAUGUUUAACAUUUUUGACAAAUUAUUUUGUGAAAUAAAUAAAAUAACCAAUUUAUUUAGACUGUGCAGUAACAUGUUGUUAUGGUUUAAUAAUUUAUUUGAAACUAAUAAUCAUAAAAAAGCUCUCUGGUGACGUCAGUCAUUGACAAGGACAUCGUCAUGGACCGGUGGUGAAGAGCCUCGAGAGUGAAGGUUAAUUUUUCGAAAGGAGAAGUCCACUAUUUCAGCUUCAUCAUUCAGCCUGGAAACUGAACUGCUUCAUAAAACUUGUGCUUGAAAAGUGUCAUGGGACCCAUAUUAAGUUUCCAAAUUUGAUCUGCUGCACACAAGUAGCUUUGAAGAAGAAGGAUCCCAGCUUAAAGAAAAACAUGUGUCACAUCCAUAAUUGUUUGACAUCAUCUUCAAGCACACCUGUGAGAAUAUUAAGGUCGUUGCUUAAAAAAAGUCCUGCAGAGAAGAAAUAUGUAUUGAAAGGUGUAAAUUUGCCUACAGGAUUCCUUGUUGCAAUGUCUUCAAAACAAAUGUAAAAAUGAAAGGAUUUCAGUGGUGAGCUCAUAAUGAUGGGAUCAAAAGGAAGUGAACUGGACUCUGAGGGACUUAACACAA